RNAcentral lists this ribosomal RNA (497 nucleotides) under uncultured bacterium. Its description in RNAcentral is "partial 16S ribosomal RNA". It matches the Rfam family "Bacterial small subunit ribosomal RNA", at positions 28 to 507 of the family's 1533-position model. The record is from RNAcentral.
GAUGAACGCUGGCGGCGUGCCUAAUACAUGCAAGUCGAGCGAACGGACGAGAAGCUUGCUCCUCUGAUGUUAGCGGCGGACGGGUGAGUAACACGUGGAUAACCUACCUAUAAGACUGGGAUAACUUCGGGAAACCGUAGCUAAUACCGGAUAAUAUUUUGAACCGCAUGGUUCAAAAGUGAAAGACGGUCUUGCUGUCACUUAUAGAUGGAUCCGCGCUGCAUUAGCUAGUUGGUAAGGUAACGGCUUACCAAGGCAACGAUGCAUAGCCGACCUGAGAGGGUGAUCGGCCACACUGGAACUGAGACACGGUCCAGACUCCUACGGGAGGCAGCAGUAGGGAAUCUUCCGCAAUGGGCGAAAGCCUGACGGAGCAACGCCGCGUGAGUGAUGAAGGUCUUCGGAUCGUAAAACUCUGUUAUUAGGGAAGAACAAAUGUGUAAGUAACUAUGCACGUCUUGACGGUACCUAAUCAGAAAGCCACGGCUAACUACGUG